This 755-nucleotide non-coding RNA is filed under the name Tenebrionoidea sp. 15 KM-2017. The record is from RNAcentral. Lineage: Eukaryota; Metazoa; Arthropoda; Insecta; Coleoptera.
AUAAAGUUUUAUUGUAGCUUGUAGAUUUAAUUGUUAUUUUUCAUACAUGUAAGUUUGGUUUUAAAUAUUUAGUUUUUCAGUAUGUUAAUUUAGUUUUAAGGUAGUUCUUUAGCUAGGAAUAUAAUAGAGUAUGAACUAAGGCUGUGCCAGUCGUUGCGGUUAUACAGUCCAUGCUAUUAAUUUUUUUUUAAUUUAGUUAGUGUUAGUUUAUAGAUUUAGUAUUAAUCUCUCUAGGUGAAAUUUUGAGAUGUGGUUGGGUUUCUUAAAUUAGUUAUUGAGGCUGUGAAACUUUAAUUUUAAAACUAGGAUUAGAUACCCUAUUAUUUUUAGUGUUAUAUAGUUAGUUAAAAUUAGUAUUAGUUAUGUUCUUGGAAGUUAAUGGAUUUGGCGGUAUUUUAGUCUGUUCAGAGGAACCUGUCCCAUAAAUGAUAGUCCACGAUUAUUUUGUCUUUUACUUUUAGUUUGCAUAUCAUCGUAUAAAGAAUAUUUUUUGAGAAUUUUAAUGUUCGUUGUUUAUUAAUAUAAAUUAAUUCAGAUCAAGGUGUAGUUUAUGUAGAAGUGGAGAUGGGUUACAUUGAAUUUAUUUUUGGAUUAUUAUUUUUAUAAAAAUUAAUUAAAUUGGAUUUGAUGGUAAUUGUAUAUAUUUAUUUGCAAUGAUUUUGGCUCUAAGGUAUGCACAUAUUGCCCGUCGCUUUCAUUUUAGGUGAAAUAAGUCGUAACAGAGUAGACCUAUUGGAAAAUGGGUCUGGAAAACC